RNAcentral lists this ribosomal RNA (396 nucleotides) under Triticum aestivum (bread wheat). RNAcentral describes it as "partial small subunit ribosomal RNA". Lineage: Eukaryota; Viridiplantae; Streptophyta; Magnoliopsida; Poales; Poaceae. The record is from RNAcentral.
AUGUUUAAACAUAGAAAUGCAAACUCCUCGGAAUCGCUGAAGACAGCAGCCAGAAAAGAUUUCUAUACAAUCAAAUCCUACAAGGAGACAGUUGAAAAUCAAUAUAUUGCCCAGCCAAACACAUUUUGCAAAUUCGGCAAUGCCACUCAGAUUUUCACCAUACUUUCGGUUCAGAUAGAUGCAAGGAACCGUCACACCCUUCUAGGCCAGAGCCUGUACAAAACUGCAACGGUCCAUGAUGCAUCACAUGAUUCCAAUUUCUUCGAGCGACAGAGCAGAUUGCUCCCCACCGGAUCCAUGAUCCAUCUGGACACUCCCCUCACAACCACCCCCAACGCCAAAAACCAUUGUCACGCCUACGCAUUUUCUAUCCCGACGCCUAGCCCUCAGCAAUGA